ACUUCAGCACAAAAAGGUAAAGGAACUCGCCUGGGGUUACGCAGCUAGCAAGGGAUGGAGCUGGACCUUGAACCCAGAGAGGCCUCACUCCGAAGCUCCUGCUCCUGGACGCUAGCUUAUGUACUGCCCCCCAGUUAAAGUCCCACUGGAAUCAUGUGAGGGUGCCCUGCUUUUGCUUUCUGCAUGUGGGGACCAUCAACCCUCCUUUCAUUGCCUAAUGGGGCUGAAGAGACACGUCAUCGUCGCUCAGGAAGGAGUCGUGAGGACUCAGCCACAGGUUUUCCGGCCCCGCCCCUAGAAGUGGGUGCAUAUUCCAAAUGCAAGGUUGGGGCGCAGGAGGGGAGGGGUCAGGUGGGAUGGGGUGGGAGAGGCACUCUACUCCUGGACGCCCAGGUUUCCAGUCUUUCAAGUCUAGGCUUUGACGUGGGGCAGACUCCACGUGGGCUCCUCCCGCCUUACUCCUCCGGCUUCACUUCUCUCUGGCUGCUCUCCCUUCCUCCUUUUCUGGACGGGAGGUGGGGGCUCUGCUUAGGAGACGUUCGUGGUCCCCCGGGUCUGCCCCAGCGAGUUUGCAGACAGUCCCUCACAAGGAGUUUCCCUGGGUCUCUCUGCCUAAGGACAGUUUUAGGCCCAGGAAUGUGCUUUGUUCCCAGCAGGGGAUGGGCCAGAGGUGCCAGAGAAUUACGUGCCACGGUUUCCCUGAGGGUCCCCAGUGGGACAGAGCCCAGGCUGCCCACGGUGGUAACCCACUCAUUAACACACCCUUCAUCAGCUUGCCCUUCUUCCCUUCCUCGCCUCCUCUCCCCACAUGCUCCCUGAGGUCACCCCCGUGUGAGUUACGUGUGCUGGAAUCCCCAUCUUAGGGUCAGCCUUGGGGGACACCUGACUCAAGACAGACCGCCUGCCCCGUAGCUGCGGGACAGAAGAGCAGCCAGGAGUCGUCACCAGAGUCAGCCUGCCUCCCUUCCCACUGAAGGUCAAGUGCGUCUUGACGAGCUGUACGUUUCACAGCUUCUGCCAGGAUUUCAUUUCGUGCUCUCAGUCGUUCUGCGGUGGACACUGGCUGGGUAGAGUCAACCCAUUCGCUCCACGCCUGUGAACACCGCGGCUCAGAGAGGCGAAUGCAGUGCCUGAUAGGAAGACGCCAGGCAGCCGCCGCGCACCCUUGCAGGUUUGCAUGGCGCUGCACUCCGCAGAGAGCCCAGCCCUGAGUGGGUGCUCAACCCACACGAGUUCUCUUUUCUCUUCUGACUUUUUUUAUUCCUAUAAAAGGUCUUAAAAUCAUUUUGUCAAUGGAGUUUGGCCAUGUUUCAUAAUCAAAAAACGCAGACACACCUGAAGCAUUUCCUUUUCCGAGGUGAAUGUGUGCAUUUGGUUCAGAAAUUCCCCUCCAGGUUCGCCCCUGCUUUUCCCAGGCGAGGUCUCUGGAUCAGCCCAAGCUCACUCUGGACACGCGCCGUCUCCUGGCUGCCGACUGCCCCCCGGCCUGACUCCAAGCUGCUCUCAGGCUCCCGAAGCAGUGGACGACCAGCGGUACAGGGAGCCCGACAAAGGGACGGACCACGGACGCAGCCGCCUCCUCCCAAAACCCUACCCAGGAAGGCAGAGGGAUGAGAGUGUCUGUGUGUGUGUGCCGACUCUGCAGAUGAGGAGACUGGGGCUCAGAGAGGUUAAGACAUUUGUCAAGGUUACACGUCUCGAGCCAGAUUAAAACAAGCUGCUGCUGUUUUCCAGAGUUGUAACUUCAGACCCCCUCGCCCCCCUCCCCAGCCUUCCCUCUGCCUCCUGCUCCUGGUCACCUGCCCUUAAGUGGAUCGUGUCGGCAGACGCAGGGGUGGCUCACCCAUGACCCCUUCGCACACCUGCCCUCUCACGGGCACAGAGCAGGUGCGGUCCUUUCCCACCGAGAGCACAGUUGAGGCAGCGACCCCGCCGCUCAGGCUGCUGGCCCUGGACAUGGUCGUCCUCCCAACACCUUAGAAGAAAGAAAUGCUUCUCGGGCCUCAGAACUCGUCCUGAACAAACCCGAGAUCCAUAAUGAGCUCUGGGAAGAGGCAUGAGUGUAGGAGAAAUCUGUCCACACUGCUGGGCCAAGCCUCCGGACAAGCACGAGGAGACCCAGCAGUGUUUUUGUUUUAAUCCCGAAGAAGAAAAAACCACCUUUGAUUAGAUUAAAUAUGCUUUGAGUAGGGCCCGAAGUCCUCAGCUUUAAUGUGCAUGAGAUCUGAAACCCAAGAUGUUUUCAGAGGCUUUGAGAGCGGCCCUGACAGCACGCGACACCUGCUCUCUCGGUCCGUGGGCUGUCGAGGGCCGGGCAGCGGAGAGGGGCUCCCUGACGUGGCUGCAGCCCGGCCCCAGGGGUAGCGGGAAGAGCACGGGCCGGCACCUGCCCGCGGCUCCGGUUCUCCCUCAAGCACGCACGCUCAGAGGGCACGUGUCUGCCACUCCCUCACCUGCGUGAGGGGAGAUGUCAUCUCCCACCCCUGGAACGAACGCCACGACUGAGACGGGCAGGUGACCUCGGGAAGAAGCUGGCGGUGGACGCUGACCCCACGGCCUUGAACCGACAGCCACUGAGAGGGGACACAGGCGCCACUCCAGGGCUCGCGCACGGGCAGGCGUCCUCCCCUCAUCCCUCCCAAGUGGCUCCAGAACAAGCUGCAGAAUUUCCCUGUUGCAGAAUUUCUGAGAGAAUUGUAGACCCGAGAGCUGGAAGGGGCCUCGUGAGCUGGCGCGAGCCCCUUUCCUUCCAGCAGGGGCAGAUCUGUGCCUCCUGCUUUGUGAACGAGGUGACUGCGGUGCUGAGUCUGGUGGUUGCUGUGCUGACGUGACCAGCAGGCGACGCUGGUGUGGAGGCUGGGGGAUCCUUGCCUUCUGUUACCCCAAACUGCUUCUCACAUGUAGAAGAUGCCACCAUCAUGCAGAGUAUGAAUCAGGAAACAUGAAAGUCAUGAAAAAAGGCACGCAGGACCCACAGGAGCCUUGGCAGCCAAGUCUGAAGGAUGUCACCCCUGGCGCACAGUGGGUCCCCGCACACUGACAGUGGAGGCUGGGCAAAGGUGACCGGCGACAAAAGCAGUGAGCUUGAAGGCCGCGAGACUGGCCCGUUGGGCCUGGGUUUGCGCGCAGACCGUAUGUGGCCGGUGGAUGCGCGGUGCCUCUGAGAUGUCACAAAAGUUGGAUGGAUGGAUGAAAGAAUGACCAGUCACACUGAGAGGAGCAAAUGCCUGCAAAUGGACUCUUUCCAUCCAUGUGCCUUGUCUUCGCCUAGUUAAUCAUCGCCAGACGAAGAACGGAGCCGGUGGGUCUGGGGGCCGUGACGUCCACCUUCCGUCUUGCUCAGCGUUGCUUCUCCUGGAGACGCGGCUUCACCCUGGGUGAUGCCUCCUGGCUACAAGUAUUACCACUUGCAAAGAGGGAAAAGAGAAAUAACCUGAAUAUUUGGGAUUCCAAAAGUUGUCUUGUACGAAGUAACUGGAAGUUUCCUAUCUCCUCUUUCUGGCCAUGGGGCAAGAAGGAGAGAGAGAAGUAAGGGAGGGAACGGGGCUGGAUAACCUGAAAAUGGCCGGAAGACUCCCUGACCGCUGGAAACCCGGCAUUCCGUCGAGAAGUCAUUUUGCUCUGUCCUCGGAGCUUGGGGCUGCGGGUUUCAGGGCAGGUGGGGGCCGGCCCCAAAGGGAACAAAGUGAGAUGGGGACGGACGGCUUCUUCACUCUCACCCACAGAGCUCGGACACUGCUGAGAACAGCGUGUUUACCAGCUCGCGGGCGGCAGUGCCGCGUUGUGUUUUAAUCACACUUCCCUUACUUCCUUAUUGUUCAUUGGGCACAAGCCUCCCUUGACUUUACAGUCUACAAAGUUCACAACCAAGAGAAUGAAAAGAACAGGUUUGCAGGCCUUGCGACGGGGCCCGGGACCUCCCUGGAGCCUGAAAUUAGGGGUUUGACGACACGUCUGCUUCCCUUCCACCUCCAAAUGGUAACAAAGUAGGGAUAAUGGAGGGGUUCCAUCUUCCCCGCUGGGCCCCAGCACCCUGAAAUGCCGUUAGGAUGAAAACACUGCUGUUUGUCAAGAGUAGAGAGCAGUAUUUUUUCAACGCGUGAUUUUUGGAACUCCAGCCCCAGUAAAUACCCUGCGGGUACCAGUCAGCGGUCAGUCUUAGUGAGACACAGCGCCAUGUUCCUCAUCCCUCCCGCCGCCAGCAUCCAGCUGUCCCACGCCGCCUUCCUGCAGCCGUUCACGUGGGGCUCUUGGUCCGGUCCCACAUGCUCCAGGGUCAGGAAGCUGCCAUUGGUCCCCCAGCGUUCGGGAGCCCUCACUAGUGCUGGCCCUGUGCUCCAGGCUGGGGACCCCCAGGAGGAGUGGCCCUAGGCAGGGGGCAGACUUACUGAGGGGGUGGCAGUCCUGUGCAGAAGGACCGGACCAUGUGUGAUGGCAGCGGGGACAACGCAGUGAAGAGGCCACUGAUGGUUAAUUCAUGGUUACCCUGGGGCGCCAGGCAGAAACGUACUGAGCUGACAGAGGGCUUGCUUUUGUCUCUCAUUCCAGGGGCCACGUCUAAGGCCGAUGGGCAGUAGUAACAAGGAAGAGGGUUCAGUUAAAAUUAAAGGGGGCUUUCUAACCAAGAGCCUCCAACAACAGUGUGGGCUGCUCUCCGAGGAGCGGGCACCUCGGCACUGCAGCGAUGCAGGAGGGCAGCUGACAGCCCACCCUCCUAGAUGUGUGCGGGAGACACUGACAUGCCAGGGAGCUGCGGGGGCUGGGUGGCCCCGGGUGGCCUGUGACCUGAGGCACCCACUCUGCUUUGCCCUCUCUGGGGGUGAGGGUUAGUUGCUUAUCUCAGAUGUGAGGACCCAGUCCUGCCAAUCUGGUCCACGCUUGCGCACACGGAUAAAAGUAGAAAUGCAACAGGACUGAGAGAUUUAAAACUUGCCAUUUUGUAUAAUUAAUACUUUCUUGUGCCUAUAUAUAAUGUAAAUAUCUGUUUAAAAUGAGGCUAGAUUUCACUCUAUAGUCUUGACUUUAAAUAGUCUGUCAUUCUGUGACACACUAGCAAAAUACGGUCAUGACAAUUUGACCAGGUUUGAAGUGGAUCAGAAUUGGUUCUGAAAAGCCAGCCUAGAUCACUUGGAUCGAGUCUGGUCCAGAACAGUUGCUUUCUGGUUGUGUACAAUGUUCACAUCAAGGGAAGAAGGGCAGGAAUAAAAGGAAAUUCUUUGUA
Molecule: long non-coding RNA, 5221 nt
Organism: Camelus dromedarius (Arabian camel)
Lineage: Eukaryota; Metazoa; Chordata; Mammalia; Artiodactyla; Camelidae
Exons: 4
Source: RefSeq, a predicted model, not a curated record